GCCAGUGUGGUAUAGUGGUUUAAGUGGACUUGGGCUCCAGGAGAUCAGGGUUCAAAUCACUACUCAGCCA
Phrynosoma platyrhinos (Desert horned lizard) is the source of this 70-nucleotide non-coding RNA. The record is from the annotation of a GenBank genome assembly. Lineage: Eukaryota; Metazoa; Chordata; Lepidosauria; Squamata; Phrynosomatidae.